UAAUACAUGUGGAUAUAUAAAUAUUACAAAAGAAUAGGAAUCAAUACAGUACAUAAUGCAUAUUUUACUGUAUAUGUCGUAUUAUGACACAUUAUAUGUCAUAAGAAUUAUAGCUCGAAAUAUAGUACCUCAAGAUAUUGUGAUAGAAUAUAUAAGUACUUGUAAAAAUCAAAAAUAGAAAUAAAGAAAUAUGUAAAUAUAGUUUAAAGUAAAGGGGAUUUUAAUUGUCUAUUUGGUAGUAGGUAGGGGUUUUAUUAUAAAAAUUAUAAAUAUAAAUAAAAUUAGAAAUCUAUGUAUAGAAAUAUAUCCUAAAUACGUUAAGAGCUAUAUAAAAUCUCAAAGGUAAGUAAAUAUAAGUAUUUGCGGUAUGUACAAAAUAGAAUUGAAAUGAAAAUUUAUCUAUCUUGCUACCUUAUUAUCUAUAUAAUAUAUAUUUAUAGAUACAUCAAUAUAAAGGAGAAAUGCACAUGUGACUAUAAUGAUGAAAAAAUAUAUGAAUAUUCAAGUAGGGUUUAAAGAAAGGGAUUUUUUUGUUUUUAUUUGGUUAGAGGCAGGGUUUUAAUGGAAAAACUAUGAAUAUACAUUUUAUUUUGAUAUCAUUCUAAAAAUGGAGAUAUAUAAUCAAUGUAUGCAGGUAUAGAUAAAAAUACAAAAUAGAAAUAAAAAUAAGUAUUAGGAAGAGAUAGACUAUAAAUAACACCAUACAUCAAUGUACAUUUAAAAUGUACAUUUGAAUAUAAAUGCGAAAAAUAGAGAUAAAUUUAAACGCAGUAUAAAAGAAAGGGGGUUUUAAAAAAAUUUUUACUUGGAUAGAGGCAGGGUCUUUAUUUGAAGCCAUAUAAACCUUUUAGAAAUCUAAAUCUAACUAUAGAAAUAUAUAAGCAAUAUAUUAAGAUAUGUGUAAAAAUAUAAAAUAUAAUAAAAUAUAAUAGGAAUAAAUGUAAGAAAUUAUAAAAAUAAAAUUACACAUCAAUCUACGUUAUAAAUCCAAAUGUGAGUAUAAAUAUGAAAAAUAUAAAAAAAAAAAAGCUUGAAAUGCAGUUUAAAAGAGAAGGUUUCUGCUUUUGGUUCCUAUUGGGUUAGAGGCAGGGGUUUUUUGCUGGCGUUCUUUUCUGCGUGGGAUGUUUUGGGGCAUUUGCUGCAGAGGAGGUUCCGGAGGGGAUCGUGCCCGUUCUUUUCUGCCGCUGGCCCCGCUCGUGGCCCCGAUGCGAGCGGCGGCCCCCGGCGGUGGCGGGCGGCAGUGCUGCCGCCUUGUGGGCACAGGGCGGUACUGCAGCCCGCCACCCACGGCCGCCAUCUUGGGAGUGGCUUCUCGCGGACUCGCUUGACCUUCUCGAGAGGGCGCGAAAAAGAGGACGUUGGCAUUCGAGGACCCGUGUCUGUUUUCUACACUGCCUGAAUUGUCCCCAACGCCGGCGCCCCCCGACGGGAUUUUCCGCGGCGGUUCCGGUGCCGUGCACACGGGCUGUGGGGUCCCCACGGGCCGCCAUCUUGCGAGUCCCUGGUCGCGGACUCGCUUGAAAAGUGCUGCCGCCUUGUGGGCAGAGGGCGGUACUGCAGCCCCGCCAGCCAGCGCCCUGCCCCUUGCCGCUGGUGCCGGGGCGGGAAGGGCGAGGGGCGGGAGCGAGCAGCAAGCGGGGCGGUGUCUGUGAGUGCAGGGCAGGGGUGAAGGCGGCUCCGCGGCGGCGGCUCGGACGGCCCGAGCCUCAAAAACAAGCUCUGGUAAGGAAACAAGCUUUGUGGUAUGCAUGCAGAAGAGGUAAGGAAGAUUCCUCUCUGUUCUAAAUCUAAUGUACCCAAAAAAAUUUGCAUCAAAGUUUUUUGUACUGACGUUCUGGUGUAUUUUAUAUAUACAAAAGAACAUAUAUGAGUACAAAAAAUAUAUAUAUUAUGCUUAUAUGGUGAGUGUUCCUGAAGUGCUGUCAUCCCAACUUAUUUUUGUGACUUCACAAGAAGCAGUUCAAAUGUAUUAGAAAGCAAGUUGCAAACUCUAGUUUUAGACGAAUAAAAUCAUCUAGGCAUGCCUAUGCUAUAAUUCUAUAGAUACAUGCAUCUAUAACAUAUAUAAAACUGAUUUCAUUUACAUGAGCUCCUUGUCUACACUAAGCCAGGAAUUGCCAAAGGCUUGUUUUGAAGUUGAGACAGGAACAAUCCAUUAUUACUGAUUCCCAGAAUGCUUCCUUAUUUCAGGGGAAUAAAGAUCCUGUUUUUGGCAAAUUCCUCAAUGCAGAAGUACCUGCACUCAUAUAAGCAUUCCCUUUAUUUCUCUUUUAAUUUCAAAAAAAAAGUUAUUACAUGUGAAUCUGAUUUAUUCACAUUACUUUAGUCUGGGUUUUUUGCAUAUAUAAUUGCUCUUAAGGUUAUUGCACCUUGCCAGAAAGAAACCAAA
Molecule: non-coding RNA, 2389 nt
Organism: Taeniopygia guttata (zebra finch)
Lineage: Eukaryota; Metazoa; Chordata; Aves; Passeriformes; Estrildidae
Source: RefSeq, a predicted model, not a curated record